RNAcentral lists this ribosomal RNA (482 nucleotides) under uncultured bacterium. RNAcentral's name for it is "partial 16S ribosomal RNA". It matches the Rfam family "Bacterial small subunit ribosomal RNA", at positions 355 to 831 of the family's 1533-position model. The record is from RNAcentral.
UAGGGAAUCUUCCACAAUGGACGCAAGUCUGAUGGAGCAACGCCGCGUGAGUGAAGAAGGUUUUCGGACCGUAAAGCUCUGUUGUUGGUGAAGAAGGAUAGAGGUAGUAACUGGCCUUUAUUUGACGGUAAUCAACCAGAAAGUCACGGCUAACUACGUGCCAGCAGCCGCGGUAAUCGUAGGUGGCAAGCGUUGUCCGGAUUUAUUGGGCGUAAAGCGAGCGCAGGCGGAAGAAUAAGUCUGAUGUGAAAGCCCUCGGCUUAACCGAGGAAUUGCAUCGGAAACUGUUUUCUUGAGUGCAGAAGAGGAGAGUAGAACUCCAUGUGUAGCGGUGGAAUGCGUAGAUAUAUGGAAGAAUACCAGUGGCGAAGGCGGCUCUCUGGUCUGCAACUGACGCUGAGGCUCGAAAGCAUGGGUAGCGAACAGGAUUAGAUACCCUGGUAGUCCAUGCCGUAAACGAUGAGUGCUAAGUGUUGGGGGGC